Long non-coding RNA from Cyprinus carpio (common carp), 1535 nucleotides. Lineage: Eukaryota; Metazoa; Chordata; Actinopteri; Cypriniformes; Cyprinidae. The record is from Ensembl.
UUUUGACGCUCCCAUCUCCCAGGCUGGCCUGGGCGGCGACGCUGUCAAGGGCUGUGCCCAGCAGUUCCCAACAGUACAACAGAAGACUGAGGCCAUACAGCUUAUCUUGCCCCGACAUGAUCCUUCCAUUCCGUCGUGGGCCAUGCCCCAGCCUGCUCGUCACCGUGGCCACCCUCCUGUGUCCUCCACAUUGGCUCUGCCCCCUGCUGAGAGUUUUUCAAAGCCGGCGCGUCGAGCCCCACACAGGAGAGCGGCGCCCCCCCCCCCCCGUGUCACAUCCAGCCGCAAAAUCAUCCAAGAAGACGACGAAGUGGCCCUCACACAGGCAACUCGGAGAUGUGGGAGACUGCUCUUCAGGAGGUGGCGGAGACAGUGCCACUCCUUACCCCGGAGGAGGGCCGGGGGGAGACUUAUUUUUGUUCCGCCGCUGGUCCAACGGCCAGCAGUACCCACAUUUUCCAUAAAAGAGCAAUUUCCCUUUCCUCUGAGUUGCAAGGCUCGUGGGUUGACAAUGAGCGACACACUGCCUCCUCAUUCUCACCCACGACACCCCCUUUCGCCAGUGGUCAAGAGGUAGCAGUUCGGAGACGCAACACCUCUCCACGCAUCUCUGGCCAGUUCCUCCGGGAACACGCAGAGUUUUGCUGUGAUGACUCAGAACGCGAUGCUUUCUGGGCCAUCCGACACAACUCCCCAUCGCUGCACCACUGUGGGUAUGUCGACUGUCCCUUUGGUACCACUUGUACGGAGUUUGGGGGCAUGGCUUGCGCUGCCCAACCCGUCACGGUGGCUCAUUUAGAUGGUUCGACUCGGUUACGCAAUUCAGUUCGCCUGGCGACCUCCCAAGUUCAAUGGCGUUCUAGAGACUUCGGUGGCAGUCCAGGAUGCCUCUGUCUUGCGCGAGGAGAUUGCUGUCCUGCUGGCGAAGGAUGCAAUCAAGCCGGUCCCUCCAGCCGAGAUGAGGAGCGGGUUUUACAACCCUUACUUCAUCGUACCCAAGAAAAGCGGUGUCCUUCGACCUAUCCUGGAUCUGCGAGUCUUGAAUCGGGCCCUGCACAAGCUCCCGUUCAAGAUGUUGAUGCAGAAACUUAUUAUCAAAUGCGUCUAAACCCAGGAUUGGUUUGCAGCGAUCGACCUGAAGGACGCGUUCUUUCAUGUCUCGAUCCUCCCUCUCCACAGACCGUUUCUGCGGUUUGCGUUCAAGGGUCGGGCAUGGCAGUACAAAGUCCUCCCCCUCGGGCUCUUCCUGUCCCCCUUGUCUUCAUGAAGGUCGUGGUGGGCGCCCUUGCCCCACUCUGGGAAGUGGUCAUCAGGAUCCUUAACUAUCUCGACGACUGGCUCAACAUGGCCCGGUCCCGAGAGGAGCUGUGCAAUCACAGGGACCUGGUGCUUCGGCACCUCAGUCAGUUGGGGCUUCAGGUCAACCGAGAGAAGAGCAAGCUCUCCCCUGCACAGAGAAUCUCUUAUCUCGGUAUGAAGUUAGACUCGGUGAGUAUGACGGCACGUCUCACCAGCAAGCGUGCCCAGUUAGUGCU